Long non-coding RNA from Hypanus sabinus (Atlantic stingray), 9453 nucleotides. RefSeq lists it as uncharacterized. Lineage: Eukaryota; Metazoa; Chordata; Chondrichthyes; Myliobatiformes; Dasyatidae. The transcript has 2 exons. The record is from RefSeq and is a predicted model, not a curated record.
GUGCCGGUAGGCAAAUUGGAAUAGAUGCAAGUCACUUCUCAGGCAUGAGUUUCAUGUUUCAUCACCAACCACUCCCUGAAGCACUUCAUUACAGUGGAUGUAAGUCCUGUUGGAUGGUGGUCAUUGAGGCAGGUUACCAUGUUCUUCUUGGGUAUCAAUAUAAUUUAAGCCUGCUUGAAACACCAAUAUAAUUUAAGCCUGCAGAAUCCCGAAGUGAAAGGUUAAAGGUGACAGUGAAUAAUCCAGCCAGUUAAUGAGCACAGGUCUUGGGUACUCAGCCAAGUACACCCUCUGGACUGGAUGCUUGCUGUGAGUUGACCCUCCUGAAGGAUGCUGUCACGUCAGCUCAGGGACUGCAAUCACAGGGCCAUGAGGGGCUGUUCAUGAAGAUUCCUCAAUGUUUUAAUGAUCAAAGUGAGCAUAAAAAGCAUUGAGCUUGUCUGGGAGCAAAGGCUUGUUGUCACUUAAGUCGUUAGGUUUCAAUUUGUAGGAGGUGAUAGCAUUCAAGUCUUGCUACAGCUGUCGAGCAUCCUCAGUGAUUCACGUUUACUGCUGAAUUUCCACUUUGCUCUUGAACCUCUUGUAUUUUACUUGGUCGCCAGACCUGAAUGCCACUGAUCUGGCCCUCAGCAGAUUGUGGAUCUUGUGGCUUCUGGAUGGGGAAGACUCUGAAUGAUUUUGUGGGGAAACACUCAUCUAUGACUGUUUUUUAGAAAGUCAUGGUGUGUUCAUUCAGAUAACCUGAUGAGUCCUUGAACACGGCCCGUCCACUGACAUAAGCAAUGCCAUAGCCACUUCUCUCCCUUGGUGAAUGCAAACACAAAGUACUCAUUUAGUCAUUGGGGCACCUAUUGUAUAAUGCCGUCAGAGUGACUGCACCUUUCUUAUUUCUAAGCUCUUCUCAGUGGAUGAGCCCUCCAGUGUGUCAUCCUGAGUGCAGCUGUGGUUUCCCUAUUAGUAAUGCAACUCUCCACCUCUUUUACCCCCAUUACAUCAAAAUCAUCGAAGCCUGAGAACAUUAAGCUACCACUCCUAUCUCCCCCGCAACCGAGCAUUUGUAAUGGCCGCAACAUCAUGGUUCCAUGUACUGAUACAGAAUCUUAAGUUCACCGGCUUUACCCAAAUUACUUGAAUAGAAAUAAACAUUCUUCAACCCAUCAGUCCCACCAUGUCAUUAACCUGUCCCUGCCUGUCCUUCCUUUCAAGCUCAAUGGUCGUAACAUUAACCCUUAACGCUUGCUGACGUACUGCUCAGAUUCCCAUCCCAUCCCGCAGCCUCUCUAGGUGGCUUCAAACUUAAAUCACCUCGAGUUUUAUCAGGGCUCAUUGAUGUCACAUUCAAGUAGUGGUUAGCACAAUGCUCUGCAGUGCAGGCGACCUAGGUUCAUUUCCCACCAUUGACCUGUAGGAGUCUGUACGUUCACUCUCUGACUGCACGAGUUCCCUCCCACAUACCGAAUAGUAGGUUAAUUGGUCUUUGUUAAUUUCCUGUGAUAAGACUGGGAUUAAAUUGGGGGAUUACUGAGCUCGAAGGGUCAGAAGGGCCUAUUCCAUGCAGUAUCAAUAAAAUAAAUAAAUGCAUCAAGUUUUGCCUUAAUGGCAAGAACAGUCAUGUCAGGAAUUCAGCUGUCUGGUUCAUGUUUGGAGAAAGGUUGCAAUGAAGAGCGAAUCUAAAUAGUUUUGGUGUAAUCGGAACCAGGCAUCGAUGAGCGGAUGAAUAAUUUCCAUUUGAUGGUACUUGAUGACGCCUCCCAUCACCUGCUGACGAAUGAGAGUGAAUGGACUAGGUCGUAAACAGCCAAGUUAAAUUUAUUGUGAGCAGGAUGCACCUGAGCAAUUUUCCACUUUGGUGGGUGGCUGCUUCUCUUGCUGGAACAGUGUGUCUAGAGAUUCAGCUUAUUUUGGAAGCGCAGUACAGCUGGGAUGAUGACUGAACACACUGCCCUCUGCUGCUCCUUGAUGUCUUGUGGGGUUAACGGAAUGGACUGAAAAUGUGUGUGUGUGUGAGAGAGAGAGAGGGUGGCAAUUGCAGGAAGAAACCAAAACGGAUCAUCUAUUUACCACUUGUGGUCAAACAUAUCUGAAAACCCUUCAGCUAUGCCUUUUGUGUACAAAAGCUGGGCUCCUCCAUUGCUGCAGUUGGAAAAGUUCUCUAGCAGUUUACAGCAGCCAAGUAAUCUACCAGCCUGGAUUCCGGAGUGUGGGAGGCAACCAGAGCACCCGAAAGAAAUCAGUGUGGCCACAGGGAGAACAUGCAAACUUCCACAAAGGUCGAGCCCAAGGUUGCUGGACUCUACCAGUGCUGCACUGUGCUGGCAGCUUCCUUAGGUGCUGAUCUGAUCACUUGAAUUUAGUUGGAGGGGUGAUUUUAACACAUUAUUUGGAAGAGUAGAACAACCAUUAACAGGGUUUCCCUUCCUCUGCCACUGACACAGCCCUCACCCGCACCUCCUCCUUUUCCCAAACAUCCGUGUCACCCCAUCUUCCCACUGCCUCAACAGUCUCUUGCCCUUACCUACGACUCCAUGAACCUCUGCAUCCAACACAUCAUCCUCUGCCAUCUCCAAAGGGCUCCUACCAAGCGUAUAUUUACCUCCCCCGCCCCAUUUUCUGCAGGGAUCGCUCGCUGCAAGAUUCCCGUGUCCAUUCAUUCCUCCUGACAAUUAUUCCUGAAAGUGGACAACCUGCCCAUUCACCUCCAUUCAGAGGCCCCAAGCAGUCCUUCCAGGUGAGGCAACACUUCACCUGUGACUCUGCUGAGAUCAUUUACUGUGUCUGGUGCUCCCAGUGUGGCCUCUUCUGCACCAGUGAGGCUCCUCGUAAACUGCUUCAUCAAGCACCUCUGCUCCAUCCACCAAAAACAGAACGUCCUGCCGGUUCAGCAUUUUAAUUUUGAUUCCUGUUCUCCUUCCUCUUGUGCCACAAUGAGGCCACCCUUGGGAUGGAGGAGCAACACCUUAUAUUCCGUGCGGGUAGCCUCCUACCUGAUGGCGUGAAUAUUGAUUUCUCCUUCUGGUAAAAACAAUACCCUCUCUGCUCCCCCUUCUAAUAUCCCCACUCAGGCUUCUUACCUCUUCUCACUUGCCUAUCACCUCCCUUAGCACCCCUCCUCCUUCCCUUUCUCCUAUGGUCCACUCUCCUAUCUUCACCUAGCUUCACCUAUCAUCCUCUAGCUAUCCUCCUUCCCCCCCCCCCCAAUUUCUUAUUCUAGUAUCUUCCCCCUAGUAGAAGAAUCUCAGCCUGAAACAUCAACAAUUUGUUCAUUUCCAUAGAUGCUGCCUGACCUGCUGAGAUCUUGCAGCAUUUUAUGUGUGUUGUUUUGGAGAUGAAUGAAGAAUUAUUUCCUCUCGGGGUGAAGUGAUAACCCUGUGCUUUUUGGAAUUAUAAAACUAAGGUAGGAACAUGAAAAGUCAGCCAUGAUCCAAAUAAAUUUUGGAACAAAGCCAAGCAGCUUUUUCUUUCUAAUGGGGCAUUGCUACUGAGCAAGAUGGCAGUGUAAGCUGGAUUUAUGUGGGAAAAUUCCCAUUCACUGCCUAAUUAUUGAGUCAGACUGUGUCCGGGAGUACUGACUGCCUCUGAAAUCAGUCCUCACAUCUGCCACAGCUGAAUAAUCUGCCGUCAGGUUUGCUCACACUCCAAGCAGGGCUGAGCAGUUCCAGUUGAUUAAACGCACUGACGCGUUUUAAUAUAUGUUGGCAUCUGGCCAGUGCAAUGACCUUCCAACCUGUGACCUCCAUAAACGAGGAAAAAGUGACUCCUCUGCCAACCGGAAUGUCAAAAUAACAUCUUCACAUUCACAAUUAACACAUUUAUCAUGCUGCUUUCCCCCGCCGAAUCACAUCACCGAAUCGAUAACAGGAACACUGCUUCCAGACAAAGGAGGCCUUAAAACUGCUUCAGGCUGGCAAGAUUGGAAGUUCAGACAUGUAAGGCUGCUGAAGAGGUUGGAUGCAAAGCAGCUCCCUCCUGCUCAAGAGAGCAAAUGCUCAUGGGUUUGCCAGGAACACCUUAAUCAGACGCACAGCUCAGGGCUGAAGAAACUUGGCCUGAGUCUGAUCUGAAAGACCACAAACAGCAGGAUGAUUUUCCAAUACUGUGUAGGCAGCCUCAGCUAUUCAGCUGCAGUCCCUGUUCCUGCCCGUGAUUAUAGCCUGUGUAGUGCAAUCGGCAUCAACGCAAACCCUACCUGUUGCGGUCUACUCAAUCACGUUUAUUAUCUCUGAUGUAAGUUAUGGAAUUUGUUGCUUUGCAGCAGCAGUACCAAGCAAAACAAAAAAAAAAAUUACUACAUUACAAGAAUAAAUAGUGCAAAGGAGGAAUAAUGAGGUAGUGUUUAUGGGUUCAUGGAUUGUUCAGAAAUUUGAGAAAACUCUUCCUAAAUUGUUGAGCCUGGGUCUUCAGGCUCCUGUACCUCCUCACUGAUGCUGGUAAUGCAAAGAGGCCAUGUUCUGGAUGGUCCAGGUCCUUAAUGAUGGCUUUCGCCUAUUUGAAACACUGACUUUUGAACAAGGGUUCCUAGCCUUUUUUAUGCCAUGGACCCCCCACCUGUAACCGAGGGGUUUGUAGACUCCAGGUUUGGAAUCCCUCCUUUUGAAUUGAUGGUAGGGAGGAUUGUGCUUCUGAUGGAGCUCUCUGAGUCUUCAACCUUCUGCAGUGUCUUACGAUCUUGUGCAUUGGAGCCUCCAUACCAGACUAUCUAUGAUGCAACCAGUCGGAAUGCUCUCUGUAGAGAUUUGCAAGUUCUUGGUGACGUACCAAAUCACCUCAAGCUCCUUGUGAAGUAGAACCACUGGUGUGCUUUGUUCAUGAUUGCAUCGUUAUGUUGAGCCCAAGCUAAAUACUCUGAGAUGUUGAUGCCCAGAGACUUCAAGCUGCUCACCCUUUCCACCACUGACCUGUCACUGAGGACUGGUACAUUCUCCCAACUUCCCCUUCCUGAGCUCCACAAUCUUCUCCCUGGUCUUGCUGAUGAUGAAUGCAAGGUUGCUAGUGCAACACCAUUCAACCAGCUGAUCUCCCUUGCUCCUGUACACCUUCUCAUUGCCAUCUGGGAUUCUGCCAAUAACCGAGGUGUCACCAGCAACUUUAUAGGUGCCAAGUCACUGAAGCUGUGCUGAGUGUAGACGGAUUAGAGCAGACAUCCUUGAGCUGUGUCAGCUGUAAUGAGCAACCUAGCAGUCCCUGUUUUUUUUUAAAUCCCAGUUCAGUGUGCAGUCCUCAGCUUCCAAGAGUAGCUGAUCUUUUUUCAGCUUCUUAGCUUAAGAGUGACAUCAGUCAGAAGCACAGACAUGGGCUGAGCCGAGCCCUUUCCUUCACAGUGGGCCAACACACUCAACAUCUUUAACUAAUUCAGCUGUGGUAUUGAGACUGACUAUAUAUACUGAUAAAGUGAUAUCCGUAUGUGUGAGCUGCAAAGCAAGUACCAUUCAGUCCAUGUGGCAGCAGAUCGAAUUGAUUGAAUGAAUGAGUGAAUGAGAAGGGGCUUCACGUCGACCAGUAUUCCCUUGUGUGUUUGUGCACCGUACUCUUUGGCAUUCUUCCCCCCCGACACCUCCUUUCAUCCAGUCCACCGUUCACUCCUCACCUCCAUUGCCCGAUCUACAGCAAAACCUCUGCUCGGAGCCUGCAGGGUCAGGACCUCCAGGCUGGAUAUUCUACAGAGCGGGCACCAUAACAUGUCAGUACUGAAUGGGAUAGUCACCUGUGUUCCCAGUGACCUCGAUGGCAUUUCACAUUGACCCUUGCGGUGAUGAGUUUAGAACCUACAGCUGAGGACGGUCGUACAAAGACAGAGAAUUUCCAUUUUACGUCCUCCUGCCCCUUGACAUCGAUUCAUAACUGAAUAAGCCCUUUGGGCUCUGACACACCCCCACGGGGGCUGAGACUGGCUGGGAUCCUGUUCCACCAUCGGCAUUCCAGCAUUUUGGUUCCACCUUGUGCAGUUAGGUUGGUUCUUUAAUCACGUUCAAGCCCAACACCUCCUUACUUGCCACACCCACAUGUCAGCAAGAGACCAGUAGUGGGAAACUCAUAAACUAGUUGCUUUGUCGAGCACCUCUGCAGCAUCCGCCACAAGUGGGACUUCCUGGGGGGGGGGGGGGGCAAAAAUUUUAAUUUCCAUUCCCAUCCCCAUCCCGACGUGCCAGUCCAUGGCCUCCUUUUGUGCCAAGAUGAGGCCACUCUCAGGGUGGAGGAGCAACACCUUGAUUCAUCCUGGGUAGCUUCCAACCUGAUGGCAUGAGUAUCAAUUUCUCCUUCCAGUAAACAAUUCCACCCCUCCCUCCUCUAUUCCCCACUCUGACCUUUAACUUCUUCUCACCUGCCUAUUACUUCUCCCUGCAUCCCCUCCUCAUUCCCUUUCUCCUAUCAGAUUCUUUCCUCUCCAGCCCUUUGCCUUUCCCACCCACCUGGCUUCACCUAUCACUUUCCAGCUAGCCUCUUACCCCUCUCCCCCACCUUUUUAUUCUGGCAUCUUCCCCCCUUCUCAGUCCUGAAGAAGGGUCUCAGCCCAAAACAUUGACUCUUUUCCACAGAUGCUGCCCAGCCUGCUGAGCUCCUCCAGCAUUUUGUGCGUGUGUUGCUUUGGAUUCCCUGCAUCUGCAGAGUCACUUGUGCUUAAGAAAGUCUCUCCUUGAACUCUGAAACACUUUUGCGGUGGCUGACAGCAGUAUGCUUCAUGUGGGUCAUUGACUGACAGACAAAGUUCAAAGUCACCAUGCACCACCUGAGAUUCACUUCCUUGCUAUCACCGCAAAUACAAAUUUGCAUUAGAAUAAAUGAAAAUCUGCUCACAGCAAAGACGGGAAAAUUAUCAAUGUGCAAGGGGCAUCAAGAUUUGCAGAUACACAAAGAAAAAUAAAUAAAUAGUAAAUAUUGAGAACAAGUCGUGGAGUCCAUAGGUUGUUGAGGUUCAGUGUCAGGGUGAGUGAAGUUUGGUUCAGCAGCCUGAUAGUUGAGGGGUAAUAACUGUUCCUGAACUUGAUGGUGUGAGUCUGAGGCUCCUGCAUCUCCCUCCCGCUGGCAGCUGGCAAAAAGGAGCAUGGGCUGGAUGGUGAGGGUUCUUUCAUGAUGGAUUUCCUGCGACAACACUCCUUGUCGAUGUGCUCAGUGGUGGGGAGGGCUUUACCUGUGAUGGGCUGGGCCGUAUCCACUACUUUUUGUAGCACUUUCCAUUCAAGGACAGUGGUGUCCCCAUACCAGACUGUGAUGCAGCCAGUCAUUAUAUGCUCCACCACACAUCUGUAGAAGUUUGUCAGAGCUUUAGAUGACAAGCCAAAUAUACGGAAACUUCUAAGAAAGUUAAGAGGCAGGAAAGUGGUGACCCAGAUUGCAGCUAGCAGUUUUGAUUAGUUUUCAGAGAAUCAUAGACGGAUGCAGGACAGAAACUGGCUCUUCAGCCCAUUGUGUCUCUGGCAUCCAUUUCCAUUAAAAUAGUGUUAAUCCCACUUCUUAAUUCUCACCACAUUUUUAUCAACUUCCUCCGCUGUCCCAGAUCAGGGGUUCCCAAUCUUUAAUACCAGGGACCAAGGGGUCUGUGGACCCCAAGAUGUGAACCCCUGCCCCAAAUUUACCACAUACCUACCCUCUAAGAACAAUUUAGGGUGGCCAAUUUACACAGCUCUGGGAUGCCGGAGGAAAUGAGCAUGCAGGGGAAACAUACGCGGUCACAGAAAGAGCAAUAAACUCCACACAGACAGUGCCAGCAAGUCUGGUGCUGAGAGGCAGGAGUUCUGAUAACUGCCUCAUUAUCCUGGAGAAUAGGCCCUGCAGACAGCCAUGGAGACCCCUGUAUCACUGACUACAUUGAAACGGGCCAGGUUUGUUGGCCCAACUUCUGUCACUGCUGUGCAAGAUACAGGCGGAGGAAUGCUGACUACCAGAACUGUAACCACAUUAAGUAAUGGGAUUGCUAUGUGCACUUACUCCUCUGUUCUAACUUUCUCUACUCCUUGUGAUACCGAGUCCUGCUGACGCAGAUCUAUACUUUUACAGGCACUCUGCCACCCGGAGAUGGGUCCAGCAGCUCGGACUGAACCCCCCCCCCUAACUCAAUCCACUCCCCUCACCGCAAAAAAAACAAAAAACACAACGCCACGCCAGAUGCAAGCAGCUUGGUAGAGUAACAGCCAUCAACACAGUGUUGUAAUGACAUGGUGAGCAGCAAACUUUGAUCUGAAUCCAGCUUAAUUGUAGUUGUGUCAGGGUGUGUCAAUAUUAGCCUGGCUGGCUAACAGCCCAUCCCUGCUUGCUUUAGUACACAGAGUGUGGCACAGGAGCCCCACCUAUAUACACCAGAGAGGUUUCUUGUCCCGAAGAACAUGAGUGACCCAAUUCUGUUUCCAUGGUACCUGCAGCUUCCUCUGGGCUUGCCCUGACAAGGUUCCAUGGUGUUUCUCUGUCUUGUGGGUGGCCUGCAGGAAGAUGAACCUCAGAGCUCCAUUCUGAAUCACAAGCAAGAGAAAAUCUGCAGAUGCUGGAAAUCCAAAGCAACACACACAAAGUGCUGGAGGAACUCAGCAGGCCAGGCAGCAUCUAUGGAAAAGAAUACAGUCCACAUUUCGGGCCGAGAUUCUUCAACAGGACUGUAUUCUGUAUACAGACUUCGAUAAUAAAUGUACUUUGCAUCUUUGAAUAUCCAUGAUGGUGGGGAGGGUUGUGCCCAUGUUGGAUCUGGGUGAGUCUACAACCCUCUACAGUACUUUGUGAUCCUGUGUCUCUGGAGGCUUCACAGUGAUGCAACCGGACAGAACGCUCUCCAGCUUACAUCUAUAGAAAUCUGUAAGACUUUCUGGUGAGGUACCAAAUCUCUUUAGGCUCCUAAUGAAGGCUGCUGGACAUGUGGGCUGAAGAACCUGUUUCAGACUCUGUGUGUGACUCUUAUGAUUCUAUAAAUUCAAAAUAAACAUGAGAUGCAAGAAUUUUAAACCAAAAAAACUUAAGCUAUUCAAAAUGAACGAUCAUUUAUUAACUCAAUAAUACAUGUGUACAAUGUCCUGUGUAUGUUACUCAAAAUGGGUUUUUUGGUUUGUUAAGAGUAGGAAUGCUUCUUUGAUAAGUGUUUCUCUCGCAGUUUUUUUGCUUUAUACUUGUUGAUAUGGUAAUUGUAUUCAUUUGUUAACCAAUGGGGAAUGUUAUUUUGUCUUGUGAGGCUGGGAACUUGGGGGAGGGGUUUUUCACGGGCUUUUGGGAGAGAUCUGGGAGGAAGACGUCGAGGAAGGUGGACGUGUGCUGCACUGCUCGGAAGAUCCCCGGGCGUGUUCCUAGGUGCGAAGACGUGGAGGUCGGAGGCAAGUGACGAGGGGUCGAAUGGUUCGAUGGUUGAGCUCCAACGAUGUGCACUAAACUGACUGAACUUUGAUAAGAUGGCGCCUUUUUGUUUUUUUCCCUUGUAUAUAUAUUGUAUUGCCUAAUACUCUUUUAAUUUUAGUAAACUCUUGGAAGUGUAUUUCAUAA